UACGGAGGGGGCUAGCGUUGUUCGGAAUUACUGGGCGUAAAGCGCACGUAGGCGGCGUGUUUAGUCAGGGGUGAAAGGCCCGGGCUCAACCCGGGAACGGCCUUUGAUACUGGCACGCUUGAGUCCGAGAGGGGGUGGUGGAACUCCCAGUGUAGAGGUGAAAUUCGUAGAUAUUGGGAAGAACACCGGUGGCGAAGGCGACCACCUGGCUCGGAACUGACGCUGAGGUGCGAAAGCGUGGGGAGCAAACAGG
Molecule: ribosomal RNA, 253 nt
Filed under: uncultured bacterium
Lineage: Bacteria
Description: partial 16S ribosomal RNA
Rfam family: Bacterial small subunit ribosomal RNA
Source: RNAcentral